CCUACGGGGUGCUGCAGUGGGGAAUAUUGGACAAUGGGCGAAAGCCUGAUCCAGCCAUGCCGCGUGUGUGAAGAAGGCCUUCGGGUUGUAAAGCACUUUCAGUGGGGAAGAAAGCCUUGGGGCUAAUACCCUCGAGGAAGGACAUCACCCACAGAAGAAGCACCGGCUAACUCCGUGCCAGUAGCCGCGGUAAUACGGAGGGUGCGAGCGUUAAUCGGAAUUACUGGGCGUAAAGCGCGCGUAGGCGGUCUGAUAAGCCGGUUGUGAAAGCCCCGGGCUCAACCUGGGAACGGCAUCCGGAACUGUCAGGCUAGAGUGCAGGAGAGGAAGGUAGAAUUCCCGGUGUAGCGGUGAAAUGCGUAGAGAUCGGGAGGAAUACCAGUGGCGAAGGCGGCCUUCUGGACUGACACUGACGCUGAGGUGCGAAAGCGUGGGUAGCAAACAGGAUUAGAUACCCCGGUAGUC
Molecule: ribosomal RNA, 465 nt
Filed under: Vreelandella stevensii
Lineage: Bacteria; Pseudomonadati; Pseudomonadota; Gammaproteobacteria; Oceanospirillales; Halomonadaceae
Description: partial 16S ribosomal RNA
Rfam family: Bacterial small subunit ribosomal RNA
Source: RNAcentral